This 494-nucleotide ribosomal RNA is filed under the name uncultured Actinomycetes bacterium. Its description in RNAcentral is "bacterial SSU rRNA". It matches the Rfam family "Bacterial small subunit ribosomal RNA", at positions 355 to 857 of the family's 1533-position model. Lineage: Bacteria; Bacillati; Actinomycetota; Actinomycetes. The record is from RNAcentral.
UGGGGAAUAUUGCGCAAUGGGCGAAAGCCUGACGCAGCGACGCCGCGUGAGGGAUGAAGGCCUUCGGGUCGUAAACCUCUUUCAGCAGGGAAGAAGCGAAAGUGACGGUACCUGCAGAAGAAGCACCGGCUAACUACGUGCCAGCAGCCGCGGUAACACGUAGGGUGCAAGCGUUGUCCGGAAUUAUUGGGCGUAAAGAGCUCGUAGGCGGUCUGUCGCGUCUGCUGUGAAAACUCAGGGCUUAACCCUGAGCUUGCAGUGGGUACGGGCAGACUAGAGUGCGGUAGGGGAGACUGGAAUUCCUGGUGUAGCGGUGAAAUGCGCAGAUAUCAGGAGGAACACCGGGUGGCGAAGGCGGGUCUCUGGGCCGUAACUGACGCUGAGGAGCGAAAGCAUGGGGAGCGAACAGGAUUAGAUACCCUGGUAGUCCAUGCCGUAAACGUUGGGCGCUAGGUGUGGGGCUCGAUUCCACGAGUUCCGUGCCGCAGCUAACG